Molecule: long non-coding RNA, 593 nt
Organism: Lemur catta (Ring-tailed lemur)
Lineage: Eukaryota; Metazoa; Chordata; Mammalia; Primates; Lemuridae
Exons: 3
Source: RefSeq, a predicted model, not a curated record
GAUUUGGGGACAGCAGGAGAGUUAAGUGACAGUGCAUCCUGAAGUCAGGGAAUGGAUACAAUCGCUUCUGCAGGGCCGUGCCAGCCAGCUGAGUGGCGAUCCCGGGAAAAGUUUCUCAGCUUAUCUCCUCCCCGGAUGGCUGUAUAAGCCAGAUGAUGGCUACCUUAACACCCUAGAAAACGUGAAUUAACAGAGGAUUUCAAGGGUGAUGCAGUGUCCAUAUCUCCUCCUCUCUCAUCCUCUCAACCAAACUUUCCUGGGAGACUCCAACACCUGCAAUUUCUAGCACUGUGACAGAAGCUGGGGGGAGGACAGAGGACCUGGCUUCAAAGGUAACACCUCCCUCUUACCAUCAUGGGGCUGACCUCAGCACAGCAGAGAGAGAAUUUGCAGUCUAAAGACGUCCUCCUAAAUAACCACCUAAAGCAUGAGCUUCCUGCCUCUGCACCCAGCCAGAUCUCCUGACCACAUGCAGGACUUUGGAUGCUGGGACUGGGGGUGGAAUUGAACAUUAAAUGAGCAACAUGCUAAUUCCAUGCAAAUGAAUAUCUAUUUUGAAUCAACAGCUUGAGCACUUUUUCUAGGGGGGCUGA